RNAcentral lists this long non-coding RNA (1398 nucleotides) under Mus pahari (shrew mouse). RNAcentral's name for it is "lncRNA (MGP_PahariEiJ_G0003537.1)". Lineage: Eukaryota; Metazoa; Chordata; Mammalia; Rodentia; Muridae. The record is from RNAcentral.
UCGCAUUGGGUAGAGCCUUGGAAAGGCAAAGUAGGGAUGGAACCGCAAGAGGAAUACCCUAGAAUCGUCUUUUCCUUCUGCUGUUUCAGUUUUUUAGCCCCAAAGUGACAAAAUAAUAGGGAAUCGGUCUGGAUUAAAUCCUGUGGGUGAGAUCUGUUAAGUGUACCACUUGCCCUGUUUUAGUCUGCCCUGCAUAAAAUGGAGAGGGCCGUUUGUCGUCGAGAGUACUCUUUGGGUAAAAAAUAAGACUUUAACUUUUGAAAGGCAUUCAAAAAGGUAAACAUGUUUAGAGUUUUUUCUAGCAUCCUUAAAUGACCCCUCCUAAAGUGGAGAUCCUUCAGGACUGCAUGGAAGUAAUUUGAAUUUUGAGAACCUGUUGCAGGCAGUAUUCCGCAACUAAAAUGACAAAAGUCCCUGUAUAGACUAAGACUGACGGUGUGUACCAUAUGUAAUAUCACUAGAGCAAUUAACGGAUGCAGCUGCCUCAACUGUCCAUAGGAACCACUUGGAGUUUUGUUUAAAAUGCUGAUUUUUAUUUAGUAGGCCCGAGUAGAGGCCUGAGAUUAUACUACAACAAGCACCCAAGUGAUAGAGAUUAUUUCAUCAGAACUACUUGAGUCAGUAAAACCCUCAGUACUUACCUCAAGCCCUAUUGGACACCUCUGACACGUUCUCCUUCCUGAACAACCCAUUGUUCUCUCCUGGCUAACCAGUUAGAAGUAGAGAAAGAAUUAAGCACGGAGGUGGGAGGAGAACCCCAGAUCUGAGUUCUUGCUUGCUGCUUUCUGUUUAUGAUACUGGUCUGGCUCCACAUAUUAUAGGUUUGUUUCUUCACCAAGUUAGAUGUAAUAAUGCCUGCCCUUUGUCACAGAGUCACUGUGUUUUACAUGUCAUAAUGUGAAAGGACACUGUAGGCUGUUACUGGUUAUAUCAAUGCCUGCUGUUUUAAGAUAGCAGACAAAUAAUGGGUUUCCCUGUGACAGUGCCAUGUAUGUCACACUUUGUUCUUGUUACCCCCUACACGCACUGCUGCUCCUUGCUAUCAGUCACAACUCAGAUAUUUAACUGGCCAGUAUGAAUGUGAAACAUUUUGAAACAUAUAUUAUAAAAUAGAUUCUAUCUAUGAAAAUUAUGUGCCAGGCAUGACACUUGUUCUCUUUUACAAACGAAGAAACUGGACACAGAUUGCUGUUACACCAGGGGACAGAGCUCUUAAGUGGCAGAAGUGGAAUUUGAAUAAACUGAUUAGUGAGGAACACUCGGACCUACCAAAACCUCUCAACAUACAGGGAGGACAAUGAAGCAAACUUGAAAGAAACCAGUUCCUGUUGCCCUAAUCUAAUGAGUUUCAACAAAGUAGUACACUGAAACUUUAUGCAAUAAAGCACAGAAAACUGG